This 740-nucleotide non-coding RNA is filed under the name Bostrichoidea sp. 2 KM-2017. The record is from RNAcentral. Lineage: Eukaryota; Metazoa; Arthropoda; Insecta; Coleoptera.
GAAAAGUUUUAUUUUAGCUUGUAGGUAGGAUUUGCUUUUGAAAUAUAUGCUUAUUAUUAGAUAAAUUGGUUGCAGUAUUUAAUAUUUUAUAUUUAUUCGAUUUUGAUUGAGCAAUAAGUUGUGAUUUUAACUAAAUUUGUGCCAGCAGUUGCGGUUAUACAAAUAAGAUUAUUUUAUCUUUUCGAGAAAAAUUAAAUUUUUUAUGAGAGUUGAAUUUUUUGUUUUUAGGGUAGAAUCUCAAAUAGAAAGUUAAUUUGUUUUUAUUUUUUGAUUAUUUUAAAUUUGUUUUUAGACUAGGAUUAGAUACCCUAUUAUUAUAAGUGUAAAUAAUUUCUUAAUUAGUAUUAGUUAUUGCUUGAAAAUUAAAUAUUUUGGCGGUAUUUUAUCCUUUCAGAGGAACCUGUUCCUUAAUCGAUAAUCCACGAUUUAAGUUACUUAUACUUUUAGUUUGUAUAUCGUCGUUUUGAAGAUUUUAUUAGAAUUUUAAUUUUCUUUAUUUUUUUUUGAAAAUAUGUCAGAUCAAGGUGCAGUUUAUGUAUAAGGGGUAAUGGGUUACAAUAAUUUUAUUUAUACGGAUGUUUUUGUUAAAACUGAGCUUAAGGUGGAUUUGAAAGUAAAGAAUUAAUAUUUUGAUUUUUGAUAUGGAAUCUAAAAUAUGCACAUAUCGCCCGUCGCUCUCAUUAUUAAUUUGAGAUAAGUCGUAACAUAGUAGGUGUACUGGAAAGUGUACCUAGAUAGUC